GUAGUAAAUAAAUUCACUAAAAAAAUAAGUGGUAGAAUUAACUAGGUUGAGCUCAUUAGUACUCGAGUAAUUAAGUCUGAGGGGACUUUGUGCCUAACAACCUAAAGCCCUUCGUGGUUUGGGAUUGUUGACCCAACGCUCGCUACAUGGGUACUAGUGCAUAAAUCUUUAGGGAUCUCAACCAUUGCACGGUUAAAUAAACCACUAGAAUAGAGUGAAUAAUUGGUGUGUGAAGUCUUGUGGUGUUCGUAACGCAUUUACACUGCGAAGCGCUCUGACCUUAGACCGAGCAAUUAAUCACCAAUAAAAAGAAAAAAAAAUAUAGUGAAUAAAAUAGAAGGGUGUGGACAUUCUUUGGGACCUUGGCUUUUAGUUGGACUUGAGUGACGGGGUGUUAGUUUUAAACUUUUACGAUUCUUGAUUGGGAUUCCGUGGGAGUAGUAGUUUUUGUCUUGUCUCAAUAAAAGAGCAUGCUUGCACACACUGGCACUCCACACUUGUAAAUAGAAGAGUAAUUGACUUGGUAGCGAGAGAGAUGAAAUUCGAGAACAUUAGCACAAUCUGAGGUAUUAUAAUUGGCAAGGCAAUUACUUCAUAGUUUACUCAUUCAUCACGUAGUUGCAUUCAUGCAUUGCAUUGUAUUAUUGUUAAUGUCGUUGACGCUUGAGGACAAGCAUCAGUUUAAGUUUGGGGGUGUGAUAAGUGGUAUUUAUACACACUUAUAGGCCUUCAUUUCCACUUAAAUUGGUUGGUUGUACUUAAGUGUUUAGUGUCUUUUGAUGUGUUUUUAGUGUUUUUCUGUGCAGGUCACGAGUUGAGGUGAUGAAGUGAUUUUCUAUCAUUUUAGGUUGUUUUUGGUGCAUUAUUUGCAAGAAUAGAGAAUUGUGGAUUCAUCACGACUUGGGAUUUUGUGGGUACAUCUUCUACAAACCCUCACGAGAACACACUCGUCCACUAGAGCUAUCUAGGGGUUUAAAGGGCUUGUUGCAUGUGCUAAAUGCAACCGUGAUCACCUACGGAAGUGGUACU
This 1029-nucleotide long non-coding RNA is filed under the name Daucus carota (carrot). Its description in RNAcentral is "long non-coding RNA (DCAR_LNC007308)". Lineage: Eukaryota; Viridiplantae; Streptophyta; Magnoliopsida; Apiales; Apiaceae. The record is from RNAcentral.